UGGAAAUCUAAAUGAUAUAUGAAUUAAUAUAGGUCCUUUAUUAAAACAUCUUGUAAUAGUAUGUAUUUUUCAAGCCAUAUUUACUAUUUUUACAAGACAGGGAAAAUCUUAAGUCCAUAAAAACGUACAAAGGGAGCCAGACAUGGCGGCGCACAACUUUGAUCCCAGCACUUGGGAGGCAGAGGCAGCUGGAUUUCUGACUUUGAGACCAGCAUGGUCUAUAGAGUGAGUUCCAGGAUAGCCAUGGCUACACAGGAACCCUGUCUCGGAAAAAACAAAAACAAACACCACCACCACCAAAAUAUACAAAGGAAAAUAUAAUUAAUGACUUUGUUACAUUUUCUAAUUUUUGAUUCUUAAGGUAGAUUGUUUAAGU
This 376-nucleotide long non-coding RNA is filed under the name Androctonus crassicauda. The record is from RNAcentral. Lineage: Eukaryota; Metazoa; Arthropoda; Arachnida; Scorpiones; Buthidae.